This 261-nucleotide unclassified non-coding RNA is filed under the name Hevea brasiliensis (rubber tree). The record is from RNAcentral. Lineage: Eukaryota; Viridiplantae; Streptophyta; Magnoliopsida; Malpighiales; Euphorbiaceae.
UAUGUUAACACACUUGCAUGUGAAUAGAAAUGCGAUAUUAUCUAUCCAACAUAAAACAAGCAUCAAAAUCAGUAUUUCACAAGAUCAAAAAAAAUCUUCAGUUCCAUGGUACAGAGGUCAAAAAUUUUAACAAGAAAAUAAGGAAAUGUAGGAGGACAUUCACUGAUGUAUUUACAAAUAUUAUGAGAACCACAAACAAAAUUUCUGCAUAUUUGUGAAAAAUUUCCUUUAUCACCAUCAAGGACUAGACAUAGAAAGGGG